GAUGAACGCUGGCGGCGUGCCUAAUACAUGCAAGUCGAGCGAACAGACGAGGAGCUUGCUCCUCUGACGUUAGCGGCGGACGGGUGAGUAACACGUGGAUAACCUACCUAUAAGACUGGGAUAACUUCGGGAAACCGGAGCUAAUACCGGAUAAUAUAUUGAACCGCAUGGUUCAAUAGUGAAAGACGGUUUUGCUGUCACUUAUAGAUGGAUCCGCGCCGCAUUAGCUAGUUGGUAAGGUAACGGCUUACCAAGGCAACGAUGCGUAGCCGACCUGAGAGGGGGUUGGCCAAACCUGGAACUGGGACACGGCCCAGACUCCUAGGGGAGGCAGAGGUAGGGAUCUUCCGGAAUGGGGGGAAGGCUUGAGGAGGCACCGCGGGGGGGGGAAGGAGGUCUUCGGAUCGUAAAACUCUGUUAUUAGGGAAGAACAAAUGUGUAAGUAACUAUGCACGUCUUGACGGUACCUAAUCAGAAAGCCACGGCUAACUACGUG
Molecule: ribosomal RNA, 496 nt
Filed under: uncultured bacterium
Lineage: Bacteria
Description: partial 16S ribosomal RNA
Rfam family: Bacterial small subunit ribosomal RNA
Source: RNAcentral